AACUAUUAUUAUCGGCCCAAAAUCGCCAGUUAAGGCGGUGUUUCCCGGUGUCAGGUUGUUUUGAAAUUCGUGUGGGAAGGAAGCCCUAAAUUUUCCGUCUGAACAAACACCGGUCAACUAUG
Molecule: non-coding RNA, 122 nt
Organism: Caenorhabditis elegans
Lineage: Eukaryota; Metazoa; Nematoda; Chromadorea; Rhabditida; Rhabditidae
Source: Ensembl